CCUUUGCAAUGUGGAUGAACCCACAUUUCUUUUUCUUUUUGCUACAUGGAUAGAAACAUUUUAUAAAUGGCCUCUGCAUCUUUAUCACCGAGUGAAAGCCUCCUCUUACUAUCAAUGAAGUUCCUACAAUCUUUAGGGAGGCACUCUAAAUUUUCAAGCUCGCCUUUUUGAACAUCAAGCAAUCAAAUACUCUUGCAUAACCUUAUUCUAGUAGUAUCAUUUUCUUCUAGAGACCUCUUCAUUUAAAUACUCAAGUUCCUAUUGCUGGGCAUCAAUCUCGACGUGUUAGGAUCAAAAUCGUGGUUGUGAUCAUAAAUUUAUUUAGAAACCAUCCAAACACCACCUUUCAUAACUGCAUUUAUCCUUGCAAAACAAUUUAUUCUCUUGGAUACUUUCUUUGUGUAUGCUCCUUUAUCACAAUUAAUUGUUUGGUACUUAUAAUGCCAUUUUUUAUCCUUACUAGCUGAUUACUUUGCUACACUAAAAUCCUUCAACAUGCCAUGAAAUCUUUAAGCAUGAAAUAAGUUAUUAAUAUUGACAACAUCAUUCCUAGAUUAGGGCCUUCUUUAAAGUUCAUAUUAUUGCUGCAUUUGAUUUCAUUAAUUAAAUAAUCAUUAUGGUUCAUAAAGUCAUUUGAAUAAUCACUGAAAAUAUUUUCUAUUUCAUUUUUUCUAGAAUCAACAUCUUGUGCAUCUUCCCCUAUAUAGCCAGUACUUGCCUCUUCUCCUCCUUCUUCAUUGUUUAUUGCAUCUAGGUUACCAUGGCUUCCAUUACCACCUUCCAUCAAACUAUAGUUUUCACAUAAGCCAAAUAUCUCCUCCAUUAAUUGAUCUAUGUAUCAAUUAUUAUACAUAUCCUCUAUUGAACAUGCACUUUUUGUUGUUAAGAAAAUUGAAAGAGAAAUUCACUUUAGGUUACAAAAAUUG
Molecule: long non-coding RNA, 926 nt
Filed under: Ricinus communis (castor bean)
Lineage: Eukaryota; Viridiplantae; Streptophyta; Magnoliopsida; Malpighiales; Euphorbiaceae
Description: long non-coding RNA (RCOM_LNC001354)
Source: RNAcentral